This 270-nucleotide unclassified non-coding RNA is filed under the name uncultured fungus. RNAcentral's name for it is "partial contains 5.8S ribosomal RNA, internal transcribed spacer 2, and large subunit ribosomal RNA". Lineage: Eukaryota; Fungi. The record is from RNAcentral.
AACGCACAUUGCGCCCGUCAGUAUUCUGGCGGGCAUGCCUGUUCGAGCGUCAUUACGCCCCUCAAGUCCCCUGUGGACUUGGUGUUGGGGAUCGGCGAGGCUGGUUUUCCAGCGCAGCCGUCCCUCAAAUCAAUUGGCGGUCUCGCCGUGGCCCUCCUCUGCGCAGUAGUAAAACACUCGCAACAGGAGCCCGGCGCGGUACACUGCCGUAAAACCCCCCAACUUUUUAUAGUUGACCUCGAAUCAGGUAGGACUACCCGCUGAACUUAA